Molecule: ribosomal RNA, 801 nt
Filed under: Polistes variabilis
Lineage: Eukaryota; Metazoa; Arthropoda; Insecta; Hymenoptera; Vespidae
Description: partial 16S rRNA
Source: RNAcentral
AAUUAUAAUUAUUAAUUUUUAAUUGGAAGUGAAAUAUUAAUCAAUUUUAAAUAUAUCUAGUUUUUUUAAAAUUGAAUUAAAUUCAGCUUUAAAAUUUUAUAUAAAUUAAUUUAAUUUUAUUAUAUAAAAAUUUAUUUUAAAGUAAAUAUAAUCGGGAUAAAUUGAUUAUAUUAAUUUAUAAAUUAAUUUUAUUUAAUAAAUAGUAUAAAUAAUAUUAAAAUUAUAUAUUUUUAAAAAUAAUGUUUUAAUUUAUAUUUUAAAUUUAAAAAGAAAAUUAAAAAAUUUUUGAUUUUAAUAAUUUAUAAAAAUUUAUUAUUUAAUGUUUAUUUAUUAAAAAUAAUGAUUAUAUUAGUAAAAUUAUUAUUGUUGUUAAAUUAUUUAUUAAAUGAAUAAAUAAAUUUAAGGAAUUAGGCAAAAAUUUUAAUAUUUAUAAAAUUUAUAUUUACCUGUUUAUCAAAAACAUGGCUUAUUGAUUUAAAUAAUAAGUUUGUUCUGCCCAUUGAAUUUAUAAUUUAAAAGGCUGCAGUAUAAUGACUGUACAAAGGUAGCAAAAUCAAUAGUUUUUUAAUUGAAAACUGGAAUGAAUGAAUUAAUAAAAUAUAAACUGUCUCAAAUUUAAUAUAUUAUUGAAUUUAAAAUAAAAGUUAAAAUGCUUUUAUAAAUUUAUUAGACGAUAAGACCCUAAGAAUUUAAUUUAUUUAGUUAAUAAGAAAUUUUAUAAUUAUAUUUAUUUAUAUAUAAUAAAUUAAAUAAAUUUUAUUGGGAGGGUAAUUAAAUUUUUAAACUUUAAUUAUUAAAUUA